Molecule: ribosomal RNA, 764 nt
Filed under: uncultured Streptococcus sp.
Lineage: Bacteria; Bacillati; Bacillota; Bacilli; Lactobacillales; Streptococcaceae
Description: bacterial SSU rRNA
Rfam family: Bacterial small subunit ribosomal RNA
Source: RNAcentral
GACGAACGCUGGCGGCGUGCCUAAUACAUGCAAGUAGAACGCUGAAGGAGGAGCUUGCUUCUCUGGAUGAGUUGCGAACGGGUGAGUAACGCGUAGGUAACCUGCCUGGUAGCGGGGGAUAACUAUUGGAAACGAUAGCUAAUACCGCAUAAUAUUGACUAUUGCAUGAUAGUCAGUUGAAAGGUGCAACUGCACCACUACCAGAUGGACCUGCGUUGUAUUAGCUAGUUGGUGGGGUAACGGCUCACCAAGGCGACGAUACAUAGCCGACCUGAGAGGGUGAUCGGCCACACUGGGACUGAGACACGGCCCAGACUCCUACGGGAGGCAGCAGUAGGGAAUCUUCGGCAAUGGACGGAAGUCUGACCGAGCAACGCCGCGUGAGUGAAGAAGGUUUUCGGAUCGUAAAGCUCUGUUGUAAGAGAAGAACGAGUGUGAGAGUGGAAAGUUCACACUGUGACGGUAUCUUACCAGAAAGGGACGGCUAACUACGCGCCAGCAGCCGCGGUAAUACGUAGGUCCCGAGCGUUGUCCGGAUUUAUUGGGCGUAAAGCGAGCGCAGGCGGUUAGAUAAGUCUGAAGUUAAAGGCUGUGGCUUAACCAUAGUACGCUUUGGAAACUGUUUAACUUGAGUGCAAGAGGGGAGAGUGGAAUUCCAUGUGUAGCGGUGAAAUGCGUAGAUAUAUGGAGGAACACCGGUGGCGAAAGCGGCUCUCUGGCUUGUAACUGACGCUGAGGCUCGAAAGCGUGGGGGAGCAAACAGG